RNAcentral lists this unclassified non-coding RNA (351 nucleotides) under Hevea brasiliensis (rubber tree). The record is from RNAcentral. Lineage: Eukaryota; Viridiplantae; Streptophyta; Magnoliopsida; Malpighiales; Euphorbiaceae.
GCCAAACCUUUUGACCUUUACAGUUCACUAGAAAAGACAUUCCUGGAAAAUGCUUUUCCCCAACUGCUUCAUUCAAACUAAUUAAUAAAAAUUUAGAAAAAUUAAAUGAAAACAAAAUUUUGGAUUAAAUAGCUGAAUGUGUAAUUAAGAAUCCAUAUGAGAUGCAGAUUGCAAACAGUUCAUUUUCACUGCUAUUUACUUUGUUUUAUUAUUAUUAAAAAAUUAAAAAUGUAUUAAUCCUGACUAUACAACACAACAAUGACAAUGCUGGAGCUGGAGCUGGAGCUAGGGAGUCUGACAGAGAUCCUGUGAUCAUGCUAUUUUGGACCUCUUAUGGAGUUCUUCCCAAUG